CUAGCAUAUCAAUAAGCGGAGGAAAAGAAACCAACAGGGAUUGCCUCAGUAACGGCGAGUGAAGCGGCAAAAGCUCAGAUUUGAAAUCUGGCGUCAUUUUGGCGUCCGAGUUGUAAUCUGUAGAGGAGUAUUCGAGUGUGGAUUUGGCUUAAGUUCCUUGGAACAGGACGUCAUAGAGGGUGAGAACCCCGUUAACGGCCUAUGUCUUAUGCUCAUGUGAAUCUCCUUCAACGAGUCGAGUUGUUUGGGAAUGCAGCUCUAAAUGGGUGGUAAAUUCCAUCUAAAGCUAAAUACUGGCAAGAGACCGAUAGCGCACAAGUAGAGUGAUCGAAAGAUGAAAAGAACUCUGAACAGAGAGUUAAAUAGUACGUGAAAUUGUUGAAAGGGAAGCACUUGCUACCAGACACGCCUGUAGUUGAUCAACCUUCAUUUUUGAUGGUGCACUCGGCUAUAGGUGGGUCAGCAUCAGUUACAACGGUGGGAUAAAGGCCUUGGGAAUGUAGCUUCCUUCGGGAAGUGUUAUAGCCCUUGGUGUAAUACCAUCUGAUGUGACUGAGGCCCGCGCUUCGGCGAGGAUGCUGGCAUAAUGGUCGUAAGUGACCCGUCUUGAAACACGGACCAAGGAGUCUAACAUCUAUGCGAGUGUUUGGGCGUCAAAACCCUUACGCGGAAUGAAAGUGAAUGAAGGUGGGAACCGCAAGGUGCACCAUCGACCGAUCCUGAUGUUUUCGGAUGGAUUUGAGUAGGAGCAUAGCUGUUGGGACCCGAAAGAUGGUGAACUAUGCCUGAAUAGGGUGAAGCCAGAGGAAACUCUGGUGGAGGCUCGCAGCGGUUCUGACGUGCAAAUCGAUCGUCAAAUUUGGGUAUAGGGGCGA
RNAcentral lists this ribosomal RNA (875 nucleotides) under Geoscypha tenacella. Its description in RNAcentral is "partial large subunit ribosomal RNA". It matches the Rfam family "Eukaryotic large subunit ribosomal RNA", at positions 34 to 926 of the family's 3401-position model. Lineage: Eukaryota; Fungi; Ascomycota; Pezizomycetes; Pezizales; Pezizaceae. The record is from RNAcentral.